This 355-nucleotide ribosomal RNA is filed under the name uncultured bacterium. RNAcentral describes it as "bacterial SSU rRNA". It matches the Rfam family "Bacterial small subunit ribosomal RNA", at positions 917 to 1264 of the family's 1533-position model. The record is from RNAcentral.
GGACCCGCACAAGUAGUGGAGCAUGUGGUUUAAUUCGAAGAUACGCGCAGAACCUUACCAACACUUGACAUGUUCGUCGCGACUUUAAGAGAUUAAAGUUUUCGGUUCGGCCGGACGAAACACAGGUGCUGCAUGGCUGUCGUCAGCUCGUGUCGUGAGAUGUUGGGUUAAGUCCCGCAACGAGCGCAACCCUCACUUUUAGUUGCCAUCAUUUAGUUGGGCACUCUGAAAGAACUGCCAGUGAUAAGCUGGAGGAAGGUGGGGGAUGACGUCAAGUCCUCAUGGCCCCUUACGUGUUGGGCUACACACGUGCUACAAAUGGUAUCUACAACAGGAAGCCAAAAACAGCGAUGUU